GCCACCAUUUUAGAUGAAGGACCAGGUUGCU
This 31-nucleotide non-coding RNA is filed under the name Rattus norvegicus (Norway rat). Lineage: Eukaryota; Metazoa; Chordata; Mammalia; Rodentia; Muridae. The record is from RNAcentral.